AGAGUUUGAUCCUGGCUCAGAAUCAACGCUGGCGGCGUGCCUCAGACAUGCAAGUCGAACGAUUAGAGCUCUCUUCGGAGAGUGUAUAGAGUGGCGCACGGGUGAGUAACACGUAAGUAAUCUACCUUUGAGUGGGGAAUAACACCGAGAAAUCGGUGCUAAUACCGCAUAAUGCAGCGGCAUCGCAAGAUGACAGUUGUUAAAGAUUUAUCGCUUGAAGAGGAGCUUGCGGCAGAUUAGCUAGUUGGUAAGGUAAUGGCUUACCAAGGCUACGAUCUGUAACCGGUCUAAGAGGACGGUCGGUCACACUGACACUGAAUAACGGGUCAGACUCCUACGGGAGGCAGCAGUCGGGAAUUUUGGGCAAUGGGCGAAAGCCUGACCCAGCAACGCCGCGUGAAGGAUGAAGUAUUUCGGUAUGUAAACUUCGAAAGAAUGGGAAGAAUAAAUGACGGUACCAUUUAUAAGGUCCGGCUAACUACGUGCCAGCAGCCGCGGUAAUACGUAGGGACCAAGCGUUGUUCGGAUUUACUGGGCGUAAAGGGCGCGUAGGCGGCCCGCAAGUCACUUGUGAAAUCUCCGGGCUUAACUCGGAACGGCCAAGUGAAACUGCGGAGCUAGAGUGUGGAAGGGGCAAUCGGAAUUCUUGGUGUAGCGGUGAAAUGCGUAGGAUUCAAGAGGAACACCUGAGGUGAAGACGGGUUGCU
RNAcentral lists this ribosomal RNA (707 nucleotides) under uncultured bacterium. RNAcentral describes it as "bacterial SSU rRNA". It matches the Rfam family "Bacterial small subunit ribosomal RNA", at positions 8 to 730 of the family's 1533-position model. The record is from RNAcentral.